CCAUUGAAUCAAGAACCAUAUUGUCCAUUGUCUUGCAAAUAGGGUGGAAAACCAUAAGCCAAUUUUGAUUAUUGUCAUAAUAUUAUUAUUGUGAACCUUUCAUAUAUUGUUUUAGUAUUGUGGAUUUAUUCUUGUGGUGACAAUCAUACUUCAAGAAAACUUGAAGGAAGGCUAAAGGAGUUCACAACAACUCAAGGACAAUCAUCAAAAGGAGGUUCAUCAAAUUCCACAUAUGGAUUCAGGUUAGAGAUUAUUCAAUAUAAAGGUUAUUGUCUUUAGUAGGAAUCAUAAUCCUAACAAUCAAAGCUCACUUUAAUUAUCAAAAUUCAUCCAGUUAGAUCAAACACAAACAAAAACAACAAAGUGAAAUUCAAUGGAAAAAUAAACAGAGCAGUGAUGAAUUAACAAAGUAGUAAAAGCAUGAAGUUAAUCAAACACAAAGUAAAAGGAAAUGAGAAAUCAAUCUUAAUGAACCUGAAAUUUCUUGCACGGCAACUUUGAAACAAAAACGCCGGAACCGUGGACGGAAACUCAAAUUAGCGCCGAGAGACUUCGAGUUGAACCCAAAUACAUCAGUCACUCCAUUUCGAUUUCCCUCACGCUGUUGCUUUGAUUAUAUGGGUGGACUUAUAACCAAAUCAGAGAAGGAAUAAAUGAAUCGAAAGCCAUGGCAGAAGCAGCUUGGAGACGAGAUAGGUGUUGGGUGUUCCAGUUGAAGGACGCCGCUGGUUUGUUCUGGUUGUAUGACAACUGACUUGAGGUUCGACGAUGGUUGUGGCUUGGACGUGAGGAGGGAGAGGCGUCGAGUGGAGAGGAAGAUGGACUGGUUCGCUGGAGCAGCGACGGGUGACGCUGGUUGACUGGUCGACGGAACUGGCUGCUGGUCGUGGACUGGCUAGCGAUGGAGGACAACCAGCGGCGUUGGAGGAGGACAGCGACGAGCAGCUGUGGUCAUUUUUCGGUGAAUUUUUGGGGUUGGAUAUGAGGUGGCGGCUACGUAGGUAUUUUUGGGGUUUUUAAUGUCUAUUUGUUGAAGGAGCAAGAAUGACUGCUAGGUUUUUCCUUUUUUCUAGGGUUUUUGUAGUGGGUAGGGUUUAGCUUUGUUUUUUUUUUUGGCUACUAGGUUUAGGUUUUCGUAGGUUAAAGAAGAGAAGAGAUAGUCUAGGGUUUUUUUGGUCUUGAUGGGCU
This 1188-nucleotide long non-coding RNA is filed under the name Nicotiana benthamiana. RNAcentral's name for it is "long non-coding RNA (NBEN_LNC036186)". The record is from RNAcentral. Lineage: Eukaryota; Viridiplantae; Streptophyta; Magnoliopsida; Solanales; Solanaceae.